Molecule: long non-coding RNA, 5508 nt
Filed under: Nicotiana tabacum (common tobacco)
Lineage: Eukaryota; Viridiplantae; Streptophyta; Magnoliopsida; Solanales; Solanaceae
Description: long non-coding RNA (NTAB_LNC012090)
Source: RNAcentral
GGUUCAAACCCUGAAGAGAAAGAGUUCCUUGAUUGGAGUAAACGUGUUAUCAUCAUUGAGGGAAUUGGUCGAGGCCUUCUUUACCUUCACAGAGAUUCAAGAUUAAAGAUUAUUCACAGGGAUUUGAAAGCAAGCAACAUUUUGUUGGAUGAACAACUGAACCCGAAAAUUUCAGAUUUUGGCAUGGCAAGGAUUUUUCCAGGCAACCAAGAUCAGGCCAACACAGAGAGAGUUGUUGGUACCUAGUAAGUUCGUGUAUCUUUGUCUUUAUCUUUCAUGAUUGCAAAGAAUAUACAAAGUAAACAUUCAAAAUUAUAACAUGAUGCAGUGGUUACAUGGCACCUGAAUACGCAAUGGAAGGAAGAUUCUCAGAAAAAUCAGAUGUUUACAGUUUCGGAGUUUUGUUACUGGAAAUUAUUAGUGGAAGGAGGAAUACUAGCUUUCACCAAGAUGACUGUGCCUUAAGCCUUCUAGCAUGUGUAAGUUCAUAUGAAAAUUAAGCUACUACUACUUUUUAUGAAAUGUCAACUUUUCAUAAUUCAAGUUUCCAUUGUGUUGUAAAAUGCGCUUGCUCUUCAGGCAUGGAAGUGUUGGAACGAAAAUAACAUUGUCGAAUUGGUUGACCCCAAGAUAAUAGACAUGCAGUUUGAAAGGGAAAUUCUGAGGUGUGCACAUGUUGGACUAUUAUGUGUUCAAGAAUAUGCAGAAGAUAGACCAAAUGUUUCGGUGGUUCUGUCUAUGCUCACUAGUGAAAUUUCUGAUUUGCCAAGUCCUAAACAACCUGCAUUUACAACAAGACCGAGCUGUUCCAAGAAGGAAUCUUCUAAAACUCAAGGCUCUGUGAACACAGUUAGCAUUACUAUUAUGGAAGGACGUUAAAACAACAACAACAACAACAACAAAAGUAAAAACCCCACUAGUGGGGGUCUGGAGAGGUAGAGUGUACGCAGACCUUACCUCUACCCCGGAGGGGGUAGAGAGGCUGUUUCCGGAAAACCCUCGGCUCAGAGACAAAAGAUCCGUAACAACGGAAACUAGACAAAUAACAACAACGAUAAAACAUUUUAACAUUUUAAGUUGGACAUGUAUUUUAUUCCUUCCCCUGUAAUUAGGGAUGUAUCUGAUUCUUUCCUGUAAUUAUUACUGCCUCUGAUUUAUUUGGUAAUCAUUCCACUCAAUAUGAUCUCAAUACAUUAAGAAUUCAAGAGAAAAGAGUAAACUGUGCAAGUCACUCAUGCAGUGGGUGUUUAAUCAUAAAUUCAGCACUAAGAACAUCAGAUUAAUAAAUUGUUUUAGUUCUUCACCCUCCACAAACACACACACAUAACGCACAGAGAGAAAGCAAUGCUAUUGUUUGAUGAUAGAAUCCAUAUCCAAGCAAGAAGAUAGCAAAGACUUCAAACUCAAAGUUGUUAAGCAGUAGCCUAAAAAGAUGUGUUUCCUGAAAUUAGAGAAGUUCAUCUACUACUAGAUUUGGAGUUACCUUUCUUUCAUGGGGAAAAUGACUUCCAUUACAGCUAUCUUAACGUUUAAUUAUAAUAUCAAUUGUUCCAGUCAACACUUAAAAACAUUAUUAUCAAUCUUUACCACUGAUAAUUUUUUAAUCAAAACUGUAUCUUAUUUGCUAAUAUUACUAUUAUUAAUGUUCAAAAGUGGCCACAUUAAAAGUAAGAGAAAAAUACUGACCUUUGGUCUUUCUCGGGAAAAAAAGCAUUUGUUCGUAUAGUUCAGCUUCUUAUGUCCGAUACUAAUUACCGCCGCAUCCAACUGAAAUAUAUAUAGCGUGGCUGGUCAGGAUCUGAAACCUCUGCAUUUUAAUCUCCUCAUUCAGGUUUUGAUUUUGACAUCUCGAGAGUAAAUUAUAAAUCUGCUUUCAUUAUUUUAACCAACUCAGCCACUGCUCAUAUUAGAUAAUUUUGCAAUCGAAUGGAUAGUAUAAUACGGGCAAAUGCCCAUAUGAGGCCCAUCAAUACCAAAGCUCCGAAUCUAAUAAAAUGAAGCGUUGCCUGGGGAAAGAUAUUCACAGAAUACUCCAGAAUACAGACAAAAAUGACAUUAUCAUAUGUUCUAACAAUACAAAAGCAAAAUUUUGUAACAAACAAAUUAGCAAAAGAAAAAUAAAAGUUUCAAAGUUAUAUCCUUAUCACUAUAAUUGGCUGAUAUGCAGGGGCGGAACUAGCACAUUUCCUGUGGGUUCGGACGUAAUUUUUGUUCAGAUUGUUUAUUUAUUUUAAGAAAUUUAUUAAAUAUGUAUAAAUUAUUAAUUUAGAAUUCUUUAACUUAAAAACUAGAAUUCUGAAUCCACAAUUUUUAUCAAUUAACACCAAACGACAUUUCCUUGCAAUUUGGAUAUCUAUAUAUAAUGGCUAACUAACGCAGGGAAAAUCAAGUAAAUUAGGAACCCAAUCAGAAAGUGACUUUGGAACAUGUUCAAGAACUCCGACUGAAACCAUUUUUUAUCUAGUGUCAGCUAAUCCUCCACCAUUUUUACCCAUAAAUUGGAAGGUUCAAUUUGUUUUUUUAAUUAAGAUUUGGUCAAAUACACAAUUCACAUUCAAUAAUCAGAAAUUAUGUUAAAAAGGAAAAUAAAUUAAACAAUUAUUGUAGAAUUAUUUUUGAACCGUUCCUCCUGUAUUCAAACAUAACUCUAUUAAAUAACUGGGAAGGAAGUUUCCUGCCUAUGUCAUAUAGUGGUGCAGAGAUUAAUUUGACAAUCUUAUUCUAGUGAAAUAUCCUUCUGCCCACUGCCUAUGUUCGAUCAACAUAUUAUUUAAUAUGACAUUUGAACUACCAUGUUCAAAUAAAGCGCUGACCCCAAAGUCGCAGCGUUACUUGUUGGUCAUGUCCGGCUUAAGAUUGAUAAGGAAAUAUCAUAUUUUUGACAUUUCUAAUUAGCAUGGAAAUUUCCCUUAUGUUGAUGUGGUCUCCUUAGGCAUCCUAAAUUAAUGAUCAAACAUUUUAGUAAUCACCAACUGUAUGAAAUCCAAUAUGACGGGUCAAGAGGCACUGAUUCAGACAUUUGUUGUUGACAAAUAAGAAAAGAAUUAUCGUGAAAUACUGCAACUAUAGGAAAAUGAAUUUCAGAUGACAACCCCAGUUCUCGUGCUUAUUGGCAGAAUUAAAGCUUGAUAAGUAAUGAAGCUAAGUUGUAAGAAGAUUUUUCUUUGGCACGCUGUUCUUGUUCUGUUUUUUCAUAUAGCAAAUGCUUUAUCAGACACCAUUAGUAUCAAUCAAUCUCUGAGUGGUUCAGAAACUUUAGUUUCCAAAAAUAACAUAUUCAUAUUGGGAUUUUUUAGUCCUGAGAAUUCGACGAAUCGUUAUGUUGGUAUUAUGUUUAAUACCCAAUCACAAAGUGUUGUAUGGGUAGCCAACAGAGACAGUCCUUUACAAGAUUCUAGUGGAAGAAUAACUAUAUCAGAAGGUGGAAAUCUUGUAAUCUUGAAUGCACAGAAGAAGAGUAUUUGGUCAUCCAAUAUUUCAACAGCUGUGAGAAAUACUACUGCCCAGCUCUCAGAUACUGGAAACUUAGUUUUGAAAGACAGCUCCAGUGGGAGAACUCUAUGGGAAAGUUUUAGUGAUCUUUCAGAUUCUUUCUUGCAGUACAUGAAGCUUGGCAGCGAUAAGAGUACUAACACGACGAAUCUGCUGAAAUCAUGGAGAAGUCCCUUAGAUCCUUCUGAUGGGAGUUUCUCAGCUGGAAUUCAACCUGAAACCAUUCCCCAAAUUUUCAUAUGGAAGAAUGGCUUACCUCAUUGGCGUAGCGGUCCAUGGAAUAAACAGAUUUUCAUUGGAGUACCAGAAAUGACUUCUUUCUAUUUCAGUGGAUUUGAGCUAGUAAAUGACAACAUGGGUACUGCCUACUUCUCCUAUACAUAUUCAGAUCAAGAUGAUGGGAUGCUCUACUUAGUCUUGAACUCAACUGGAUUUUUGCAGCAAAAAGAACUAUAUGAUAGGAAGAAUGACUGGACCGUAACAUGGGCAACCCCUGCAAAUGAGUGUGAUUUUUAUGGAAAGUGUGGGCCUUAUGGAAGCUGCGAUCCUAAUAGUUCACCAAUUUGCACUUGUUUGCAAGGGUUUAAACCAAAAAGUCAAGAAGAAUGGGGAAAAGGAAACUGGACCAAUGGAUGCAUCAGAAAGACUGCAUUAGAGAAUGAAAGAAACAACUCCAACAUUGAGCAAGGUAAGCAAGAUUGGUUUUUGAGGCUGCAGUCAAUGAAAGUUCCGGAUUCCGCUAUUUGGGUAUCUUUGGAUGAAGAAGAUUGUGAAAGUGGUUGCUUGAGGAAUUUCUCCUGCAUAGCUUAUUCAUACUACAUAGGCAUAGGAUGCAUGCAUUGGGAAGGAAUCUUACUUGAUGUUCAGAAAUUCUCCACGGGCGGGGCAGAUUUAUUCAUUCGUCUUUCGUACACUGAGCUUGGUAAUACCUUAUUCUUUUCAGAACUAUAAUAUAAGCUAGUACAAAACUCUGCUUGCCCAAAACGUAGGUCUGAUGUAAGCUUAUUUCGGAAUGCAGAUCAAAAGAAAGAUAUUAAAGUAGCCAUUGGGAUCGUAGUACCAGUAGGCUCAAUAGUUCUUGCCAUUUUUGGAUACUUUUCAUGUAAAUAUUUGGCUAAGCACAGAGGUAACAAUCUAAUCUGUAACAUUAGAAAAUGUCCAGUAGCUUUAAUUAUUCAUUAUCAGUUUAUCUCUAAUGUGCUUUUGAAUCAGCAAGGAAGAAAAAGAGUGAGCUCUUAUUAAGAGAAUCAUUGCCAAACUUCUACAAGGAAAGCAUGGUUACAGAUGACAUCAACCAAGCUAAAUUUGAGGAGCUGCCGUUAUACAACUUUGACAUGCUAGCAAAUGCAACUGACAACUUUCACCUCUCUAGCAAGCUUGGGCACGGUGGUUUCGGUACAGUUUACAAAGUAAUGUUCUCUGUGAUUGAGUCAUUUAUUAUGUUUUUCCAGAAUAGAAAUUGACGGAAUAUGAUAUAACUACAGGGACAAUUGCCAGAGGGACAAGAAAUUGCUGUGAAAAGGCUUUCACAGUCUUCUGGCCAGGGGCUAGAGGAGUUUAUGAAUGAGGUGGUGGUGAUUUCCAAACUUCAACACCGUAAUCUUGUUAGACUCCUUGGCUGCUGCAUAGAAAGAGGGGAGAAGAUGCUGGUUUAUGAAUUCAUGCCAAAAAGAAGCUUGGAUGCCUAUAUCUUUGGUUAGUUGAUUACCAUUACUUUUCUUUUAUGUUACAUACUGUCUAGCUAAAAGGGAAAUUGUUUGAAAUAUUUUCACUUGUAUGUUUUUCAAUAUACUUACAGGUUCACACCUGGAAGCAGAAGACUUCCUUGAUUGGAGUAAACGUGCAAUCAUCAUUGAGGGAAUUGGUCGAGGCCUCCUUUACCUUCACAGGGAUUCAAGACUAAGGAUUAUCCACAGGGAUUUGAAGGCAAGCAACAUUUUGUUGGAUGAAUACCUGAACCCCAAAAUUUCAGAUUUUGGCAUGGCAAGGAUUUUUUCAGGCAACCAAGAUCAGGCC